This 416-nucleotide ribosomal RNA is filed under the name uncultured Clostridium sp. Its description in RNAcentral is "bacterial SSU rRNA". It matches the Rfam family "Bacterial small subunit ribosomal RNA", at positions 349 to 782 of the family's 1533-position model. Lineage: Bacteria; Bacillati; Bacillota; Clostridia; Eubacteriales; Clostridiaceae. The record is from RNAcentral.
CAGCAGUGGGGAAUAUUGCACAAUGGGGGAAACCCUGAUGCAGCAACGCCGCGUGAGUGAUGACGGUCUUCGGAUUGUAAAGCUCUGUCUUCAGGGACGAUAAUGACGGUACCUGAGGAGGAAGCCACGGCUAACUACGUGCCAGCAGCCGCGGUAAUACGUAGGUGGCAAGCGUUGUCCGGAUUUACUGGGCGUAAAGGGAGCGUAGGCGGAUUUUUAAGUGGGAUGUGAAAUACCCGGGCUUAACCUGGGUGCUGCAUUCCAAACUGGAAGUCUAGAGUACAGGAGGGGAAAGCGGAAUUCCUAGUGUAGCGGUGAAAUGCGUAGAGAUUAGGAAGAACACCAGUGGCGAAGGCGGCUUUCUGGACUGUAACUGACGCUGAGGCUCGAAAGCGUGGGGAGCGAACAGGAUUAGA